GCCUAACACAUGCAAGUCGAGCGGUAACAGGUGUAGCAAUACAUGCUGACGAGCGGCGAACGGGUGAGUAAUGCUUCGGAAUCUGCCCAAUGGUGGGGAAUAACCAGCCGAAAGGUUGGCUAAUACCGCAUAAGUCCUACGGGGGAAAGCAGGGGAUCGCAAGACCUUGCGCCGAUGGAUGAGCCGAAGUCGGAUUAGCUAGUUGGUAGGGUAACGGCCUACCAAGGCGACGAUCCGUAGCUGGUCUGAGAGGACGACCAGCCACACUGGGACUGAGACACGGCCCAGACUCCUACGGGAGGCAGCAGUGGGGAAUAUCGGACAAUGGGGGAAACCCUGAUCCAGCGACGCCGCGUGUGUGAAGAAGGCCUGCGGGUUGUAAAGCACUUUUAGUGGGGAUGAAAAGCUCAGGGCUAAUACCUCUGGGUCUUGACCUAACCCAAAGAAAAAGCACCGGCUAACUCUGAGCCAGCAGCCGCGGUAAUACAGAGGGUGCGAGCGUUAAUCGGAAUUACUGGGCGUUAAGCGUGCGUAGACGGUUAUGUAAGUCGGGUGUGAAAGCCCCGGGCUCA
This 572-nucleotide ribosomal RNA is filed under the name uncultured bacterium. Its description in RNAcentral is "bacterial SSU rRNA". It matches the Rfam family "Bacterial small subunit ribosomal RNA", at positions 46 to 611 of the family's 1533-position model. The record is from RNAcentral.